Plutella xylostella (diamondback moth) is the source of this 298-nucleotide non-coding RNA. The record is from RefSeq and is a predicted model, not a curated record. Lineage: Eukaryota; Metazoa; Arthropoda; Insecta; Lepidoptera; Plutellidae.
ACUUUCAAAAAUAGACAAAAAAUAUAGUUCAUGAUUAAUUAUACUAGGCUCAAAUUCAAAUCUUUAUUACAUUCCAUAAUUAGUGUUACUUACAUAAGGUGUUAAAAUAAUAAACAAGCGAUCAUUAUGGACCCGGGAGGUCACAGCAAUUUCCUAUUAGGAGAAGGAAGGAGGAGGACUUAGCUCUCAGAUGACUAGGCUACUUUAGUAAAACUGAUAUGGAAGAACUUGCGGACACCAUGGCAAGAAAAGGAUUAUUUCAAGCUGUCCCAUCCAGUGAAUAAAUACUUACUAUGAA